RNAcentral lists this ribosomal RNA (499 nucleotides) under uncultured Glomeromycotina. Its description in RNAcentral is "partial small subunit ribosomal RNA". It matches the Rfam family "Eukaryotic small subunit ribosomal RNA", at positions 591 to 1092 of the family's 1831-position model. The record is from RNAcentral. Lineage: Eukaryota; Fungi; Glomeromycota.
CCAAUAGCGUAUAUUAAAGUUGUUGCAGUUAAAAAGCUCGUAGUUGAAUUUCGGGAUCAGAUUGUCGGUCGUGCCUCGGUACGCACUGGCAUUAUUGGUUCCUACCUUCUGAAGAACCGCGAUGUCAUUAAUUUGGUGUCGUGGGGAAUCAGGACUGUUACUUUGAAAAAAUUAGAGUGUUUAAAGCAGGCGCACGCUUGAAUACAUUAGCAUGGAAUAAUGAAAUAGGACGUUUGAUUCUAUUUUGUUGGUUUCUAGGAUCGACGUAAUGAUUAAUAGGGAUAGUUGGGGGCAUUAGUAUUCAAUUGUCAGAGGUGAAAUUCUUGGAUUUAUUGAAGACUAACUACUGCGAAAGCAUUUGCCAAGGAUGUUUUCAUUAAUCAAGAACGAAAGUUAGGGGAUCGAAGACGAUCAGAUACCGUCGUAGUCUUAACCAUAAACUAUGCCGACUAGGGAUCGGAUGAUGUUAAUUUUUUAAUGACUCAUUCGGCGCCUUACA